AGUUGGUGGUGAAAUCCCAGAGCUUAACUCUGGAACUGCCAUCAAAACUUUUUAGCUAGAGUAUGAUAGAGGAAAGCAGAAUUUCUAGUGUAGAGGUGAAAUUCGUAGAUAUUAGAAAGAAUACCGAUUGCGAAGGCAGCUUUCUGGAUCAUUACUGACGCUGAGGAACGAAAGCAUGGGUAGCGAAGAGGAUUAGAUACCCUCGUAGUCCAUGCCGUAAACGAUGUGUGUUAGACGUUGGAAAUUUAUUUUCAGUGUCGCAGCGAAAGCAUUAAACACACCGCCUGGGGAGUACGACCGCAAGGUUAAAACUCAAAUGAAUUGACGGGGACCCGCACAAGUAGUGGAGCAUGUGGUUUAAUUCGAAGAUACGCGCAGAACCUUACCAACACUUGACAUGUUCGUCGCGACUCUAAGAGAUUAGAGUUUUCGGUUCGGCCGGACGAAACACAGGUGCUGCAUGGCUGUCGUCAGCUCGUGUCGUGAGAUGUUGGGUUAAGUCCCGCAACGAGCGCAACCCUCACUUUUAGUUGCCAUCAUUUAGUUGGGCACUCUGAAAGAACUGCCAGUGAUAAGCUGGAGGAAGGUGGGGAUGACGUCAAGUCCUCAUGGCCCUUACGUGUUGGGCUACACACGUGCUACAAUGGCAUUUACAAUAGGAAGCAAGAUGGCGACAUCAAGCAAAUCCUAAAAAUAUGCCUCAGUUCGGAUUGUACUCUGCAACUCGAGUACAUGAAGCUGGAAUUACUAGUAAUCGCGGAUCAGCGCGCCGCGGUGAAUACGUUCCCGGGUCUUGUACACACCGCCCGUCACACCAUGGGAGUUGGUUCUACCUUAAGGCAAGGUUUUAAACCCUUGACUACGGUAUAGUCAGCGACUGGGGUGAAGUCGUAACAAGGUAGCCGUAGGGAACCU
This 915-nucleotide ribosomal RNA is filed under the name marine metagenome. Its description in RNAcentral is "bacterial SSU rRNA". It matches the Rfam family "Bacterial small subunit ribosomal RNA", at positions 586 to 1513 of the family's 1533-position model. The record is from RNAcentral.